This 497-nucleotide ribosomal RNA is filed under the name uncultured bacterium. Its description in RNAcentral is "partial 16S ribosomal RNA". It matches the Rfam family "Bacterial small subunit ribosomal RNA", at positions 28 to 507 of the family's 1533-position model. The record is from RNAcentral.
GAUGAACGCUGGCGGCGUGCCUAAUACAUGCAAGUCGAGCGAACGGACGAGAAGCUUGCUUCUCUGAUGUUAGCGGCGGACGGGUGAGUAACACGUGGAUAACCUACCUAUAAGACUUGGAUAACUUCGGGAAACCGGAGCUAAUACCGGAUAAUAUUUUGAACCGCAUGGUUCAAAAGUGAAAGACGGUCUUGCUGUCACUUAUAGAUGGAUCCGCGCUGCAUUAGCUAGUUGGUAAGGUAACGGCUUACCAAGGCAACGAUGCAUAGCCGACCUGAGAGGGUGAACGGGGACACUGGAACUGAGACACGGUCCAGACUCCUACGGGAGGCAGCAGUAGGGAAUCUUCCGCAAUGGGCGAAAGCCUGACGGAGCAACGCCGCGUGAGUGAUGAAGGUCUUCGGAUCGUAAAACUCUGUUAUGAGGGAAGAACAUAUGUGUAAGUAACUGUGCACAUCUUGACGGUACCUAAUCAGAAAGCCACGGCUAACUACGUG